AACGAGCGGUUGAUUGUAUAUCAAAAAGAAUUCAAUUUUAGUAAAACUUGAGUUUUCUAACAAUUUUACUCCUUUUUAAGUCCACAACAGCCAAAACCGUACCAAGCCAAUCAAAAACAAGUUAUAAUAUAAUUUAGGGUUCUUUUCCAUAAUCGCAUAUCAACAGAGAUGAUUUCUUUUGGCAGACCAAGCGCACUGACUCUGUUAUAUUUACAUUAUAACCUACUUACUGGCAUCUGGAAAGGUUGCUCUCAUCCCUGGGAAAUUUAUACUAUUUUUUGACAAAUAAAAGCUACCUCAGUGGAAACCCAAUAAUUAAAAUUAAGCCUCACACUUUUGACAACUAUAAGAGGUAUCGAACUUGAAGAAUUUCUUUGCUGCUCACGUUUUUAUCAUGAAAAAAUAAGAUAUAAUAGUGGACAAUGACCGCAUAUGAGGGGGAAAUUGUAAAAUAGGACAUUUUUGAUAGAAAUGAAUGUAAUGCUUCGAAGCUUCCAAUCAAAGGUGUUACUCCAACACCCCUUCCCUCCUCCUCUUUAAGCGCAGAACACACUACACUGGUAGUCUAAAAUUUGCCCAUUAUCACUUCCUACAAGGCCUGAGUUUAGUGCAGCAGCAACUUCUAGAACUUUUAAUCUUUACGAUUUGCUCGCACUAAGCUAGUUUUUG
Molecule: long non-coding RNA, 669 nt
Organism: Zophobas morio
Lineage: Eukaryota; Metazoa; Arthropoda; Insecta; Coleoptera; Tenebrionidae
Exons: 4
Source: RefSeq, a predicted model, not a curated record